UAUAUACUCCCUCCGUUCAAAAUUACUUGUCAUGAAAAUGGAUAUAUCUAAAACUAAAAUACGUCUAGAUACAUCCAUUUCUGUGACAAGUAAUUCCGAACGGAGGGAGUAUAUG
Molecule: non-coding RNA, 115 nt
Organism: Triticum aestivum (bread wheat)
Lineage: Eukaryota; Viridiplantae; Streptophyta; Magnoliopsida; Poales; Poaceae
Source: Rfam